UACGGGGGGAGCAAGCGUUGUUCGGAAUUACUGGGCGUAAAGGGCGCGUAGGCGGCUUGGUCAGUCGCGUGUGAAAGGCCGGGGCUCAACCCCGAGCACUGCACGCGAUACUGCCUGGCUCGAGAGAGGUAGGGGCGAGUGGAAUUCCCGGUGUAGCGGUGGAAUGCGUAGAUAUCGGGAGGAACACCUGUGGCGAAGGCGGCUCGCUGGACCUUUUCUGACGCUGAAGCGCGAAAGCGUGGGUAGCAAACAGG
This 254-nucleotide ribosomal RNA is filed under the name uncultured prokaryote. RNAcentral's name for it is "partial 16S ribosomal RNA". It matches the Rfam family "Bacterial small subunit ribosomal RNA", at positions 524 to 776 of the family's 1533-position model. The record is from RNAcentral.